GUGGGGAAUCUUAGACAAUGGGCGCAAGCCUGAUCUAGCCAUGCCGCGUGAGUGAUGAAGGCCCUAGGGUUGUAAAGCUCUUUCAGCUGGGAAGAUAAUGACGGUACCAGCAGAAGAAGCCCCGGCUAACUCCGUGCCAGCAGCCGCGGUAAUACGGAGGGGGCUAGCGUUGUUCGGAAUUACUGGGCGUAAAGCGCGCGUAGGCGGACUGAAAAGUUGGGGGUGAAAUCCCGGGGCUCAACCUCGGAACUGCCUUCAAAACUAUCAGUCUGGAGUUCGAGAGAGGUGAGUGGAAUUCCGAGUGUAGAGGUGAAAUUCGUAGAUAUUCGGAGGAACACCAGUGGCGAAGGCGGCUCACUGGCUCGAUACUGACGCUGAGGUGCGAAAGCGUGGGGAGCAAACAGGAUUAGAAACCCGGGUAGUCC
This 425-nucleotide ribosomal RNA is filed under the name uncultured bacterium. RNAcentral describes it as "bacterial SSU rRNA". It matches the Rfam family "Bacterial small subunit ribosomal RNA", at positions 354 to 796 of the family's 1533-position model. The record is from RNAcentral.